AUUGAGAAACAUACCAGGCCAAACACAUCAACACAACAUAGAAAAAAAUACAUACACUACCCACCCCAACUCACGCCCUGACCAAACAAAGACAUAACAAAGGAACUAAGGUCAGAAUGUGACACGCAGGGAAAACACACCAGCUCACAGAAGUCUUGAACACUAAACAAAGAACAUACACGCACAAAACCAUAUGGGAACUAGAGGGUUAAAUAGGGAAUACAUUAUAACGUAAUGGGAACCAGGUGUGUACAAUCAAAACAAAACAAAUGGAAAAAGAAACGUAGAUCGGUGGCAGCUAGAAAGCCGGUGACGACGACCGCCGCCCGAACAAAGAGAGGUACCAACUUUGGCGGAAGUCGUGACACUCAUAUCCUGGCAAGUGUGGGGGAAAAAAUAUUCCCCUGCCUAAAGGAGGGGCUCCGCACGAAGAUGGACACUACACUGACAAUCAUCUUUGCAGUGGCGGUUCUGUAUAACUUAGGCAAGAGACAAGCUACCUGAGGAAGCUGAGGAGGUCCUACCUGAGAGGAAUGAAGAUGGCCAGGUGCAACAUGCUGCCAAUGCAAAUGGGAAUGCUGUGAGAACCUUGAUUGAGAACCAUUUAGCAGCCUAAGGGUGGAACUGGAAGUACCAGAACACAAGAGUGGAGACAAGACUGGAGGAUACCAAAUCGCUUGGGAAAGCAUUGUUUUAAUAAAUAAUUCCUUAAAUAAAUAAAAAUAUUCUUUACACAGUGGGCAUUUGUUUCCCUGAAGGGGCUUCUGAAUUUGCAAUAGCUCUUUUUGUAAAUUCAGGACCUCAAUCUGCAGUAGAAUUCUCUCUCUCCAGCUACAAAACAUCAAUAUGAGCUUGGUUCAUGUCAGUUCUGGGGCUUUUUGUUUGGCCUGUCCGGUGUUUUUGCUGCUGGCACGCAAAAUCCAGGCACUGCUGUUUCUCCAUGGCACAGUGUGUCAGCUACAACAAUUGAAUUGGGCCCUAUAUGCCCAGCCUUGGUACAAAUGAUGAUGUUAUGUGACAUGCUGUAACGGGCCUGAUAACAGUAACAUUGUGAAGUAGCAUUAACAUUUGUUUUAACGUGCAUUAUAGUCAUUGACAUUUACCAGUUAUUUAUACUUACUAAAUAUUGGUGGUUCGAGUUGUCCGUCAUCAUCAUAGGGGUUAGGGAGAGGGGAAAACUGCUGGGGAAUCAUCUCACAUAUCUUCUGGGAGAGAGAAUCAAUUCCCUUAGAAGGAGACCCCCUCUGGUCUGAAAUAGCCCCCGCCUCUCCUCCGCCGCAUCCUUUUUGGCUUUCACUUUUACGUUUUUCGAGCACUUUCAUCUGAUUUGGGUCCCACUUUUCUUUAAUCCGUGUCGAACCAUUAAAUCUGUCGCAUAAAAUG
Long non-coding RNA from Oncorhynchus tshawytscha (Chinook salmon), 1383 nucleotides. RefSeq lists it as uncharacterized. The record is from RefSeq and is a predicted model, not a curated record. NCBI's taxonomy places the organism in Eukaryota, Metazoa, Chordata, Actinopteri, Salmoniformes, Salmonidae. The transcript has 2 exons.